GUUUUUAACCAGGUUUUCCGAAGGAAAAAACUGGUUAUUAGAUUGGCGAAUGCGGGCGGGCUGGCGGGCUGGCUGGCUGGCGGGCUGGCUGGCUGGCUGGCGGGCUGGCGGGCUGGCGGAAUAAGCUUGUCCGGGCCAUAACUAUGUCGUUCCUUAUCAGAUUUUAAAAUCAUUUGGCACAUUUGUUCACCAUCAUUGGACGGUGUGUCGCGCGAAAUAAUUACGUCGAUAUCUCCAAGGUCAAGGUCACACUUUGAGUUCAAAGGUCAAAAAUGGCCAUAAAUGAGCUUGUCCUGGCCAUAACUAUGUCAUUCAUUGUGAGAUUUUAAAAUCAUUUGGCACAUUUGUUCACCAUCAUGGGACGGUGUGUCCCACGAAAGAAUCACGUCAAUAUCUCCAAUGUCAAGGUCGCCACGACUAAAAAUAGAUUUAAAAAAAAAAAAAAAAUUACAAAGGGGGUUAAUUUUUUUUGGUCAUUUCAAAAGUUCA
Molecule: long non-coding RNA, 489 nt
Organism: Dreissena polymorpha
Lineage: Eukaryota; Metazoa; Mollusca; Bivalvia; Myida; Dreissenidae
Exons: 2
Source: RefSeq, a predicted model, not a curated record